UCUUCUGUUUACCCCCUUUUCCCAUCUUUAGUUUCUCCCUUUUUUAACUCAUUAGUAAAAGAUCUGGAGGUAGAAACUAGAGUUCUACUCUUUGAAAAAGAUCUAGAAGUAGAAAUCAAAAUUCGACUCGUUACUUUGGGGAAUCAUGCCCUUUUGUGAGAGUUGCGGCUGGACGCAGGACGGCUGCGUCUCUGCCGUCCAUCACCACCUUGUACUUACUCGUCUAACUGGAGCUGAUUUUGAUGCACUAUUUGGUUCUAUGCGCUCCUUUUGAUAUUUGUGGUUAAUUCAUAUCUGGGUUUAAAUUUUGUGUAUUGAGUUUUAUUUGGAUAAUCUGCUUUGCUUAGGUGAAAAUGGCUUUCUACUUGUUAGUAAUUAAGCGACAUGGGUGGGAAAAUGCCUAUAAUUCCCUGCUUAUUCCAUCGAUUCUGUUGGUUUACGAGCUCUGCUGUGUUUCCUGUGAUCGUUUCAAAGGCAAUGUGGUUCUUCUCUUUAUCGGAAAGGAUGCUGUUAAGUGUUGGUUACUCUUAUUUUACAAGCUACAUUGUCCUAACCAGUAAAAACAAUGUUCUCCUUGGCUUUUAAAUGUGGCUUUGCAACUUCAGUGGUUGCUAUCUGGCUAUUGGCUUGCUAAUUAUAUGUUGGUGCCUAUGGCUAUUGGUUGAAUUCCCCUAAAUUGGUUAUGCAACGUGGUAUUUUUCUCUUUCCUUGAAGUAAGAAGUGGUUUUCUGAACUUCGAUUUGCUGUUUUU
Molecule: long non-coding RNA, 751 nt
Filed under: Phoenix dactylifera (date palm)
Lineage: Eukaryota; Viridiplantae; Streptophyta; Magnoliopsida; Arecales; Arecaceae
Description: long non-coding RNA (PDAC_LNC018628)
Source: RNAcentral